CGCGCCACUGCACUCCAGCCUAGGCCACAGAGCGAGACUCCGUCUCAAAAAAAUAAAAGGAUCAUUCAGGUAAAGCAGAUAAGAAUCACCAAUACCUUGAGGUGGAAGCACGCCUGACAUGGUUGAGAAACAACAGAGAAGCCGGCGUCCUGAGUGCGUUUCCAUAGUAAUGAUCAAAUCAAAGAAAUAUAGAAAACACCUAACAUUGCUGGAAACUGAAGAGGUGUUCAACUCAUUUAUCCGACCUUGAAGCCAGUAGAGUGCAGGAGACAUCUGAGUGUUGUCAAGGAUCAACAAAUCUGGAUACUAGUUAAUGUGAUGCCGUGAACCUAGCAAUGAGUGAGGAAAAGGAAUCUUUCACCCCUACAAAGGGAUACCAUGGAAUUUCUCAAACAGUGAAUACAUUGGCUCCAGGAAAAAGGGUCGACCUCUUAAAUAGAAAUAGAGAACUAGAGAACAAUAAUGAGGGGAGUACCUUGCAGUCAGUAAUAAGAAGCUGUCUUUACUAUCAAAUCAGACCUCCAGUGGGAGAGUUUUUCCCUAUAGUGACUUUGACUGUCACCCUGUGUUUAAUCACAAUCCUAUGAAAACAGUUAACUCUCUAAGUGGUCAAAGAAAUUUUUCAAUAAACAUAAACUUUAGUCUAAUUCUCAUUAUUCUCCUUUUUUGUCUCUUUGUCUAAAAUAAAGCAAUUAAACAUUAAUUAUGCAAAUCAUUGACAAACUAGAAAAACAAUACCCUUCGUAUUUCAAGACAGUGGGAGAGAUAGGCUGGGUAUUCAGAGAAAAAUACCCCUCAUUAAAUGUUAAUGCAAGAAACAGGUGGAAGGCCGAGCAUG
RNAcentral lists this long non-coding RNA (838 nucleotides) under Homo sapiens (human). Its description in RNAcentral is "HSALNT0366696". The record is from RNAcentral. Lineage: Eukaryota; Metazoa; Chordata; Mammalia; Primates; Hominidae.